CAGUCGCCACGGUAAUACGAAGGGUGCAAGCGUUACUCGGAAUUACUGGGCGUAAAGCGUGCGUAGGUGGUGGUUUAAGUCCGUUGUGAAAGCCCUGGGCUCAACCUGGGAAUUGCAGUGGAUACUGGGUCACUAGAGUGUGGUAGAGGAUAGUGGAAUUUCCGGUGUAGCAAUGAAAUGCGUAGAGAUCGGAAGGAACAUCUGUGGCGAAGGCGACUAUCUGGGCCAACACUGACACUGAGGCACGAAAGCGUGGGGAGCAAACAGGAUUAGAUACCCCUGUAGUCCCUGUCUCUUAUAC
This 301-nucleotide ribosomal RNA is filed under the name uncultured bacterium. RNAcentral's name for it is "partial 16S ribosomal RNA". It matches the Rfam family "Bacterial small subunit ribosomal RNA", at positions 509 to 807 of the family's 1533-position model. The record is from RNAcentral.